CGGUAACAGGAAGCAGCUUGCUGCUUCGCUGACGAGUGGCGGACGGGUGAGUAAUGUCUGGGAAACUGCCUGAUGGAGGGGGAUAACUAUUGGAAACGGUAGCUAAUACCGCAUAACGUCGCAAGACCAAAGAGGGGGACCUUCGGGCCUCUUGCCAUCGGAUGUGCCCAGAUGGGAUUAGCUAGUAGGUGGGGUAACGGCUCACCUAGGCGACGAUCCCUAGCUGGUCUGAGAGGAUGACCAGCCACACUGGAACUGAGACACGGUCCAGACUCCUACGGGAGGCAGCAGUGGGGAAUAUUGCACAAUGGGCGCAAGCCUGAUGCAGCCAUGCCGCGUGUAUGAAGAAGGCCUUCGGGUUGUAAAGUACUUUCAGCGGGGAGGAAGGCGACAGGGUUAAUAACCCUGUCGAUUGACGUUACCCGCAGAAGAAGCACCGGCUAACUCCGUGCCAGCAGCCGCGGUAAUACGGAGGGUGCAAGCGUUAAUCGGAAUUACUGGGCGUAAAGCGCACGCAGGCGGUCUGUCAAGUCGGAUGUGAAAUCCCCGGGCUCAACCUGGGAACUGCAUUCGAAACUGGCAGGCUAGAGUCUUGUA
Molecule: ribosomal RNA, 597 nt
Filed under: uncultured Enterobacter sp.
Lineage: Bacteria; Pseudomonadati; Pseudomonadota; Gammaproteobacteria; Enterobacterales; Enterobacteriaceae
Description: bacterial SSU rRNA
Rfam family: Bacterial small subunit ribosomal RNA
Source: RNAcentral